CAACCUACGGGACGCAGCAGUGGGGAAUAUUGCACAAUGGGGGAAACCCUGAUGCAGCGACGCCGCGUGAGCGAAGAAGUAUUUCGGUAUGUAAAGCUCUCUCAGCAGGGAAGAAAAUGACGGUACCUGAGUAAGAAGCUCCGGCUAAAUACGUGCCAGCAGCCGCGGUAAUACGUAUGGAGCAAGCGUUAUCCGGAUUUACUGGGUGUAAAGGGAGCGCAGGCGGCCUUGCAAGUCUGAUGUGAAAUACCGGGGCUCAACCCCGGAGCUGCAUUGGAAACGGUGAGGCUGGAUGGUCGGAGAGG
RNAcentral lists this ribosomal RNA (305 nucleotides) under uncultured bacterium. RNAcentral describes it as "bacterial SSU rRNA". It matches the Rfam family "Bacterial small subunit ribosomal RNA", at positions 333 to 657 of the family's 1533-position model. The record is from RNAcentral.